UACAUGAAACGGCAGCAUAACACAUGCCCAACUCUCCCCAACCAAACUCAGUUCAGUUUUGCAUUCUGGCCUGGAAGGAAGACUCUGCAGCUCUCCUCGCAGACCACGAAUUCAGACGUAUCGCGUACCUAUCUGUAACAAUCCGCAGAGAGAAAGUUUAUAACGGAGCCGUCAACUCGGACCACGCUGAGAUCAUCAUACGCCGUCAAAAAGAAAGCAGUGCAGCCAUAGUAAAAUUAGACAUAUAUCCGUCAGCAUAUUGGAGUGAAGAAGGCGGAAUAAGGAGACUAGCCAAACAAAGCGACUCCUAUCGCAGUAAAGUGUGGAGGUAACUUUGCAAAGUAUGUUUUUCGACCCACCCGACCAACCGACCGAGAUUUGGACAGUUGUAGUAGAGUAGAAUACAGCUAAAACCCUACAUUAGCGGAAAAGAGAGGAGAAAGUCAACUUGUUUUCAUCUUAGAAAUUCCAAACCAGCAUCAAGUCAACUCCCACGAUUUCCAUUAAAUAUCCACCAUACUUUCUCCUUCUUCCUCUCCUUCUUUGUGCGGAAUGGAUGGGCAGCAGGGCAAAAUAAAUACUUGAGUCAAGUUAACCUACGACUGUGGAAAAUUGACUACUUUUACUCGUCUUCUUCCAUCCGACGAAAUAAGAAUACGGAGAAGAACCAUCAAACUGGAGAGGAGCGAGCAAAAGUGUCAUACGUUUUCAUCUCUGACGACUCCUCCCUUGUCACAUUGAUUGCUUUUCUACUCACUGAACAUCAAAUAAUAAUCGCAAAAAAAAAUCAUCCAACAAGACAAAACAUUAGUGAAUUUUCGUUGCAUCCGAACAACAUAUCCCAAGCCAAACUCAUGCAUGCUUGCUGAUUGAUUGACAAUCUCAUUUUAAUUUUGAAUUUGUCAUCUACAUUCUACCCACUAUAGUGAAACUCUUGAGAUAAUCCUUGGAACACAGUGUACGAGCACCUAGAACGACUACAUAUUCAGCAGAACCAAGACUGACCUGUCAAAUCAUAGGGAACAGAGCGUCAUACACCAAAAUAAAUUGAACGCAUCGUACUAAUAAUAAUUGCCAAAUUGUGUAUAUGAACCCGAACCAUCUGUGGUGGAAGGGCAGACGGAGUAAAGCAUUAACAAACUAUAUUCCAACCCCACGCCAAUUUUUUUGCGAGGACAUAUUUUAUACACCACCAGCAAUGAAUCGGUGUGUGGAACGUGCUAUUGCUAUAAUAAAAAUGCACCGCACAGAGAUUCGUAGUGAGUUUGUGAGUGCGAUACGUACAUAAAUACAGCGAGAAGAUUUUGUUCUGUCUAAGCACCAAGAGCAGCCUCCCCCUUCGUCAUCGGCGUCGUCAUCAAUUUCAUACACCAACCAACCACACCGGCAGCCUAAAGGAAUAUCCUUCACCUUUAUGCAUGAGUUCAGCUGCGAAUUGUCUCUCAGUGCAGAUUUAUGAGAGAAUAGCUGCCCAGAGUGAAAGCGACAACACACUGCAACCAAAACCUCACUUCUGCUGCUGGUCCUCACUCACUAAUAGCUGUUAAAAGUCUCUACAGGAAUAAUGGGUGAACCUGGAGAAGCUUCCGCUGGUGGAGCUGUGGGAGGAGGGGACCCUCGUCUGGAAUCAAUUGACCCCGAAUUAGUGGCAAGAAUGACGGAAGACGAAAUUAAGAAAUUUAUUGAUACGGGUCGAACCGGGAGAAGAAAUGCGUUGCCGGAUGUAAAUCAGCCAGAUAAUGUGACAACCUCGACCGCCGGUAUGGCGGAAGCGCUAGAGUCACUUUCUGUCGGGCCAUCCAAUCCGGAGGACAAGAAAGAAGAAGCGAGUACAUCUGGGGCGUCUUCUGGGGGCUCCUGAUCUUAAUCAGACUUUCACUCCCACCUCGCAAAACUCAAAUCUAUCCAAAUACCUGUCUGUAUUAAGUCAAGUUAUUGAGAAGUAACUUGCCCAUUUCUUGAUAUUACUAAGUCAUAGAAAUACUAAUUAUAGGCAACCCAAACUAGUACCCACACACAACAACAUUCGUAUAUGUACAUACAUGAUACACUGUAAGACGUGUAGUUGGGCAUCUAGUCGGUUUUGUAUGAGAUAUCCUUGUGAUAGAGAUGUUUUGUGCUGGGUUACAAAUAUUUAUCCAGGUUUGCAGCGUAUUAGCGCGUAGUGUUUUAUGAGUGGUGGUGGUGCGCCUGCUUAUUCUUCUCCUCCGUGCGUGAAUGCCAUUGGGAACCGGGCGCAAAAUAUUUGGAACCGGAUUCCAAGACGCAACAAACAAAUGAAGCUAAUUUACUCCAUCGAGUAUGAACAUGAUAACAUGAAACUUCGCCGAAAUUCCGUCGGAUGCAGACAAAACCACGACUUGAUGGCGAAAUUUAUACUCACCUCGUUCUCGCCGACCAAAUAUGCUGGAGACUAAAACAGCAUCCACCAAGGUCGGGACAACAAUGUAGACAGUGGUCGUUCGUCGACUUGAUCUCAGACUUGAAUCGCCAAUGAGAGGACAGUCUCACACCCUCGAGAAAAUGAUAUUUAUAAUGUGUCGCAUUUCUCUCUCUCUUAUUUCAAAGUACCUCGUCUCCCUCCGGGCUACCACACAUACAGAAAUACAUGUGUAACAAUAAGUGGUUAUUUCUAUGAUUAUUAGUGGGUGGAACAGUGUUCUAUAUAUUUUGUUAUUAACUAUCGUCACCUAUUUAGUAAUAGACUCCAGGUGGUAGAUGUACCUACGUAAAUGUAUACAUUUAGGAGACGAUAAUGUUUUAUCAUUUGUGUAAAUUAAGAACCCAAAUCGCGUUUUGCAUUUAUUAUAACAAUGUGAUUGUAAUAAAGGAAAUAAGUAUUUACGCAUAA
This is a long non-coding RNA of Folsomia candida, 2851 nucleotides long. RefSeq lists it as uncharacterized. The transcript is spliced from 4 exons. The record is from RefSeq and is a predicted model, not a curated record. Lineage: Eukaryota; Metazoa; Arthropoda; Collembola; Entomobryomorpha; Isotomidae.